RNAcentral lists this small RNA (46 nucleotides) under Lentisphaera araneosa HTCC2155. Its description in RNAcentral is "Acido-Lenti-1 RNA". It matches the Rfam family "Acido-Lenti-1 RNA". Lineage: Bacteria; Pseudomonadati; Lentisphaerota; Lentisphaeria; Lentisphaerales; Lentisphaeraceae. The record is from Rfam by way of RNAcentral.
CCUAGCACUGACGUACUAGGCUGAUAUAUGCCGUAACUUCGGUACU